This 569-nucleotide ribosomal RNA is filed under the name uncultured bacterium. RNAcentral's name for it is "partial 16S ribosomal RNA". It matches the Rfam family "Bacterial small subunit ribosomal RNA", at positions 355 to 914 of the family's 1533-position model. The record is from RNAcentral.
UAGGGAAUCUUCCACAAUGGACGCAAGUCUGAUGGAGCAACGCCGCGUGAGUGAAGAAGGUUUUCGGACCGUAAAGCUCUGUUGUUGGUGAAGAAGGAUAGAGGUAGUAACUGGCCUUUAUUUGACGGUAAUCAACCAGAAAGUCACGGCUAACUACGUGCCAGCAGCCGCGGUAAUACGUAGGUGGCAAGCGUUGUCCGGAUUUAUUGGGCGUAAAGCGAGCGCAGGCGGAAGAAUAAGUCUGAUGUGAAAGCCCUCGGCUUAACCGAGGAAUUGCAUCGGAAACUGUUUUUCUUGAGUGCAGAAGAGGAGAGUAGAACUCCAUGUGUAGCGGUGGAAUGCGUAGAUAUAUGGAAGAAUACCAGUGGCGAAGGCGGCUCUCUGGUCUGCAACUGACGCUGAGGCUCGAAAGCAUGGGUAGCGAACAGGAUUAGAUACCCUGGUAGUCCAUGCCGUAAACGAUGAGUGCUAAGUGUUGGGAGGCUUCCGCCUCUCAGUGCUGCAGCUAACGCAUUAAGCACUCCGCCUGGGGGAGUACGACCGCAAGGUUGAAACUCAAAGUGAAUGAC